RNAcentral lists this ribosomal RNA (302 nucleotides) under uncultured bacterium. RNAcentral describes it as "partial 16S ribosomal RNA". It matches the Rfam family "Bacterial small subunit ribosomal RNA", at positions 508 to 807 of the family's 1533-position model. The record is from RNAcentral.
GCAGUCGCCGCGGUAAUACAGAGGGUGCGAGCGUUAAUCGGAUUUACUGGGCGUAAAGCGUGCGUAGGCGGCUUCUUAAGUCGGAUGUGAAAUCCCUGAGCUUAACUUAGGAAUUGCAUUCGAUACUGGGAAGCUAGAGUAUGGGAGAGGAUGGUAGAAUUCCAGGUGUAGCGGUGAAAUGCGUAGAGAUCUGGAGGAAUACCGAUGGCGAAGGCAGCCAUCUGGCCUAAUACUGACGCUGAGGUACGAAAGCAUGGGGAGCAAACAGGAUUAGAUACCCGAGUAGUCCCUGUCUCUUAUAC